Non-coding RNA from Phialophora macrospora, 160 nucleotides. NCBI's taxonomy places the organism in Eukaryota, Fungi, Ascomycota, Eurotiomycetes, Chaetothyriales, Herpotrichiellaceae. The record is from the annotation of a GenBank genome assembly.
GUCAGUGUGGCCGAGUGGUUAAGGGUAAGCAGCGACGGCGCCACCGCUGUGAUUUAUUGAUGGUUCUAACCAUGUCCUUAGCGUGUGACUUGAAUUGGCCAGCUGGGCUUUCUGCGAUCACAUCUCUUCGGAGGCAUAGGUUCGAACCCUAUCGCUGACG